AGCAGCCGCGGUAAUUCCAGCUCCAAUAGCGUAUAUUAAAGUUGUUGCAGUUAAAAAGCUCGUAGUUGAAUUUCGGGGUCAGCAGGUUGGUCGUGCCAAUGGUAUGCACUGGCCUUGCUGAUUCCUCCCUCUUGAUGAGCCGUAAUGUCAUUAAUUUGGUGUUGCGGGGAAUCAGGACUGUUACUUUGAAAAAAUUAGAGUGUUUAAAGCAGGCAAGCGCUUGAAUACAUUAGCAUGGAAUAAUGAAAUAGGACGUUUGAUCCUAUUUUGUUGGUUUCUAGGAUUGACGUAAUGAUUAAUAGGGAUAGUUGGGGGCAUUAGUAUUCAAUUGUCAGAGGUGAAAUUCUUGGAUUUAUUGAAGACUAACUACUGCGAAAGCAUUUGCCAAGGAUGUUUUCAUUAAUCAAGAACGAAAGUUAGGGGAUCGAAGACGAUCAGAUACCGUCGUAGUCUUAACCAUAAACUAUGCCGACUAGGGAUCGGAUGAUGUUAAUUUUUUAAUGACUCA
RNAcentral lists this ribosomal RNA (508 nucleotides) under uncultured Glomus. Its description in RNAcentral is "SSU rRNA". It matches the Rfam family "Eukaryotic small subunit ribosomal RNA", at positions 569 to 1078 of the family's 1831-position model. The record is from RNAcentral. Lineage: Eukaryota; Fungi; Glomeromycota; Glomeromycetes; Glomerales; Glomeraceae.